RNAcentral lists this transfer RNA (72 nucleotides) under Phrynosoma platyrhinos (Desert horned lizard). RNAcentral describes it as "tRNA-OTHER". The record is from RNAcentral. Lineage: Eukaryota; Metazoa; Chordata; Lepidosauria; Squamata; Phrynosomatidae.
GCCAGCAUAGUGUAGUGGUUUGAGCAUUGGAUUAUAAUUCUGGAGACCAGGGUUCAAAUCCCUGAUUAGCCA